GAUGAACGCUGGCGGCGUGCCUAAUACAUGCAAGUCGAGCGAACAGACGAGGAGCUUACUCCUCUGACGUUAGCAGCGGACGGGUGAGUAACACGUGGAUAACCUACCUAUAAGACUGGGAUAACUUCGGGAAACCGGAGCUAAUACCGGAUAACAUGUUGAACCGCAUGGUUCAACAGUGAAAGACGGUCUUGCUGUCACUUAUAGAUGGAUCCGCGUCGCAUUAGCUAGUUGGUAAGGUAACGGCUUACCAAGGCAACGAUGCGUAGCCGACCUGAGAGGGUGAUCGGCCACACUGGAACUGAGACACGGUCCAGACUCCUACGGGAGGCAGCAGUAGGGAAUCUUCCCAAUGGGCGAAAGCCUGACGGAGCAACGCCGCGUGAGUGAAGAAGGUCUUCGGAUCGUAAAACUCUGUUAUUAGGGAAGAACAAAUGUGUAAGUAACUAUGCACGUCUUGACGGUACCUAAUCAGAAAGCCACGGCUAACUGCGUG
RNAcentral lists this ribosomal RNA (496 nucleotides) under uncultured bacterium. Its description in RNAcentral is "partial 16S ribosomal RNA". It matches the Rfam family "Bacterial small subunit ribosomal RNA", at positions 28 to 507 of the family's 1533-position model. The record is from RNAcentral.